This 425-nucleotide ribosomal RNA is filed under the name uncultured bacterium. RNAcentral describes it as "partial 16S ribosomal RNA". It matches the Rfam family "Bacterial small subunit ribosomal RNA", at positions 354 to 796 of the family's 1533-position model. The record is from RNAcentral.
GUGGGGAAUCUUGCGCAAUGGGCGAAAGCCUGACGCAGCCAUGCCGCGUGAAUGAUGAAGGUCUUAGGAUUGUAAAAUUCUUUCACCGGGGACGAUAAUGACGGUACCCGGAGAAGAAGCUCCGGCUAACUUCGUGCCAGCAGCCGCGGUAAUACGAAGGGGGCUAGCGUUGCUCGGAAUUACUGGGCGUAAAGGGCGCGUAGGCGGACAGCUUAGUCAGAGGUGAAAGCCCAGGGCUCAACCUUGGAAGUGCCUUUGAUACUGGCUGUCUUGAGUUUGGGAGAGGUGAGUGGAACUCCGAGUGUAGAGGUGAAAUUCGUAGAUAUUCGGAAGAACACCAGUGGCGAAGGCGACUCACUGGCCCAAUACUGACGCUGAGGCGCGAAAGCGUGGGGAGCAAACAGGAUUAGAUACCCCUGUAGUCC